Molecule: RNA transcript, 8738 nt
Organism: Corvus hawaiiensis (hawaiian crow)
Lineage: Eukaryota; Metazoa; Chordata; Aves; Passeriformes; Corvidae
Gene: ERC2
Gene name: ELKS/RAB6-interacting/CAST family member 2
Exons: 23
Source: RefSeq, a predicted model, not a curated record
UUACCCAAAAAUAUAAGUAUUUACUGUAUUUCUUUUCUGUUUGUUCUGAAAGCUUCACACUGUUGAUUUAGAUAAGCUUGAAUAGAAACAGAUUGGGACACCAGUAAUCCAGGAUAUUAUUUUUGAUUGGGCAAAGUAGAUUUAUUAAGAAAAGGAGAUAAAACUGUUGUGCCAUGGCUUUCAAAAAUGUUCUGUGCUUCAAAGAAAAAACACUUAUCUGACUAGUGCAGGAUGGGCCUGAACGUGGUGAUGACAAGCAUGACAUGGAACGUUGCUCACUGGAGCUCAGGUCAGGCUGGAGUUCCUUCUGCAGGGACUUUUCUGUCCUGCUGUAAUGCAAGUGCACAUCUGAUAGUGCUGCUGUAUUAUAUUCUGGAGCAAAUGAAAUCUGCCAGCCAUUAUUUCAGUAUCUACAAGUAAUUGCUUCAUACUUGCACAAAUCUUUACAGGUUAUAAAAAGUUACCAGUUUCUCAAAGGGAGUUCUGUAGUGUUGUGUCAUACUUAGGUUUUUUAAUUGAGUAUGCUUUCACAACAUGGGUGAUUCAGAAGUGUACAUUAUUGGAUCAUAAUCAUAAGAAUGAGCUGAAUUCUGUCACUUUCAUGUACACUAAGUUGAAAAUAACUGGGGUUUAAAAGGAUUAUUGCCAGGCCAAUGAACGUUUCAGAAAAGGAAGCUUUAUCUGGAAAGCUGCAAGUAUAGAGGCUGCACACUGACACAGUAAUGACCAUUUAUGUUUCUAAUAGUGAUUACAAAUAUUUUCCCUGAAAUUUUGGAUGAUUAUUCUUAUCCAAUUGUAUGUUUGUGAGUGCUUUUUGACUUAUAUUUUGGGAGUUAAAUUACAGAGCUAGAUAGACUGUGUGCUACUACUAUUCUGCCAGAAAUGCCCAAAUGGAAUUUCCAAAGACAGCCUGUGAAAUUGCCCUAUGGCCAGGAGCUCAAACACAUUGAUUGCUAUUCCUGGAUAAUUAGGGUGUAACCUCUUUCCUCCCUGCUUCACUUUUCCAUUUGCAAAAAGACCAGUAUUAAUAAACACUUUGAUAAGAUUUUUUUUCAAAUAUGUUAGAUUAAGCUCUAAGUGGCAUCUUCCUUUCAUAGCAUGUACACUGCUCUUGUUUCCAGUAACACAGAAAAAUGCAGUUUCAUCUCAUCUCUAUGGCUACGUGGUGUUAUGCAAUGCGACUUUUGAAAAAUUGUAGUUUAAUUUUUUUCAAGGUAAAUUAAUCCUUUUCUUCAGUCUCAGGGAGAAGCAAAAUACUGAAAAUAAUAGUAUUAGAAAGGCUACAUGGUUCUUCAUGUGUAUGAUAUAUAAUACUUCAUAAGUGAUUUAAAUAAUUGGCAAAUUGAAGGACUGAAGCUUUGCAUAAAAGCUUCUCUGAAAGGGAUUCCUUACCCAGGCCUUGCUGUAUACACUUCACCCCUGAUAGCUGCAGUAUAGAAGGUGUGGUUGUCUGAAUGAUCUCUCCCUUUCUAUAUACAUAUCUAGAGAGAGAGAUAAUAGAUAGAAGGGACCUUCUGCCUGUGUGUCUUUUUUUACUUCCACCUCUUCCCUAUGAAAAAGGAAUGACUGUGUUUUCUUCUCUCGUGCUAAGGAAAUCAACAACAUAGAACACUUGAGAACUUUCUGAAUGACUUUUGUAUACCUGUGAAGUUUGAAUAAGCCAAAUAACACCACCAUGGGAUUAAACUAAAUUUUAAGGCCACUUGAAGUGUCAUGGAGAUCAUAAAAUGCUUACACAUUUAACUCUUGGUUUGGUGAAUGAAAAGAUGAUGUCUGUGACAAUUAGAACUUUUUGUCAUGGGUGCUAAAUUAAAAAAAAAGGGAGAAAAAUAGGGGCAGUGUGAGUGCUGACUGCCUAAAGGACUGAAGCUGCUGAGCAAUUUAUGAGGAACUGAUUUAUGAGAGUUCCAAGCUCAAAAUACAUUCUAUAGGUGCUUCAGAAACACAGCUAUUUUUGUCUUCCUAAUAAGUAUGAUAUGGCAAUGAAGACUUUGUAUUCCCUCCUUCCAUCUGUGUUCUACACCCAUCUGUCAUACUUUAUCCCUGUUUAGAUUGAAAAUGUUCCUGAUUUAUGCAGUGUUUGUAUUUACCAACUAAACAACCAAUAGGCUGCAUGUGACAGAAGCUGCGGACCCAUGGAUGUCGUCCCUUGGCAGGAGGGCCCCUGUUGCAAGAGGCCAUUUUAAUUCUUGGAGUUGCUAAAUUCUAAUGCUUAUCACGAAAUAACUAAGAAGAAGCACAGUUGCACUCUACUGUCCUUAGGACACACCACUUCUGAAUAACAACAGAUCGUCCAAAGGAUGUCUGGAAUCAACUGAGUGACCAGAAUGAAUACUUGAUACCAGUGCACUGACAGGAGCAUACAUGUUUCUUCACCCUUAAAGGUCUGUCUUUGGAGGAAUACCAGAUUUUGCCUACUGGAAGAAUGCAGUGAAACUGCCAAUAUUUCUAGCCGGAAUUAUAAAUUUAAUAUUCAACUUUAGUGUUACUAGUUUCUUACUAAAUAGUACCUCAAAGUAGAAAAAAAUGUAUGGAAGUGCAAGAACAAUCAGCAACUUGGAAGGAAGUCCCUCCAGGUCUCCCCGCCUGCCGAGGUCCCCUCGCCUGGGCCACAGGCGAACCAGCAGCGGGGGAGGAGGGACGGGGAAGACGUUAUCCAUGGAGAACAUCCAGUCCCUUAACGCAGCCUAUGCAACAUCUGGACCAAUGUACCUGAGUGACCACGAGGGUGUAGCUUCUACUACUUUCCCAAAGGGCACAAUGACUCUUGGAAGGGCUACAAAUCGAGCUGUGUAUGGUGGCCGAGUCACAGCCAUGGGGAGCAGCCCCAAUAUUGCUUCUGCUGGACUGUCACACACUGAUGUCCUUUCUUACACCGACCAGCAUGGAGGGCUGACCACAUCCUCACACCACCACCACCACCAGGUUCCUUCCAUGCUGAGACAGGUUAGAGAUAGCACCAUGUUAGACCUGCAGGCUCAGCUUAAGGAUCUACAGAGGGAGAAUGACCUUCUCAGAAAAGAACUAGACAUUAAGGACAGCAAGCUGGGGUCCUCUAUGAACAGCAUCAAAACUUUCUGGAGUCCUGAGCUAAAGAAAGAGAGAGUAUUGAGGAAAGAAGAAGCAGCCAGAAUGUCAGUUCUUAAAGAACAAAUGAGAGUUUCCCAUGAAGAAAAUCAGUUUUUGGAUGCCAGAAGAACAAAGCAUCUGCAAUUGACAAUCCAGGCACUUCAAGAUGAGCUUAGAACCCAGAGAGACCUUAACCAUCUUCUCCAGCAAGAAAGUGGGAACCGAGGGGCUGAGCAUUUUACCAUUGAGCUCACAGAGGAGAAUUUUCGAAGACUUCAGGCAGAACAUGAUAGACAAGCUAAAGAGCUCUUCCUGUUGAGAAAAACUCUAGAAGAAAUGGAGCUUAGGAUUGAAACACAAAAGCAAACACUAAAUGCCAGAGACGAAUCAAUAAAAAAGCUUCUAGAGAUGUUGCAAAGUAAAGGUUUGCCUUCUAAAGGAAUGGAAGAUGACAAUGAGAGAACUCGAAGGAUGGCAGAGGCUGAAUCUCAGGUUAAUCAUUUAGAAGUGAUUUUAGAUCAGAAGGAGAAGGAAAACAUGCAUCUUAGAGAGGAAUUGCAUAGAAGAACCCAACUUCAGCCUGAGCCAGCAAAGACGAAGGCUCUGCAAACAGUUAUCGAAAUGAAGGAUACAAAAAUAGCUUCACUUGAGCGCAAUAUAAGAGAUCUUGAAGAUGAAAUACAGAUGUUAAAGACAAAUGGAGUUCUGAAUACAGAGGACCGAGAAGAAGAAAUCAAACAAAUAGAAGUUUACAAGAGUCACUCAAAGUUCAUGAAAAAUAAGAUUGAUCAACUGAAACAAGAACUCUCAAAGAAAGAAUCAGAACUUCUUGCCUUACAAACUAAGCUUGAAACCCUUAGCAAUCAGAAUUCAGAUUGCAAGCAACACAUUGAAGUGCUUAAAGAGUCCCUUACUGCCAAAGAACAGAGAGCUGCCAUACUUCAGACAGAGGUUGAUGCCUUGCGGUUACGAUUGGAAGAGAAAGAAACCUUUCUGAAUAAAAAAACAAAACAACUUCAAGACCUCACAGAAGAGAAAGGAACCCUUGCUGGAGAAAUUCGAGAUAUGAAAGACAUGUUGGAAGUAAAAGAAAGAAAAAUUAAUGUCCUUCAGAAAAAGAUUGAAAAUCUACAGGAGCAACUUAGGGACAAAGACAAACAACUAACUAAUCUAAAAGACAGAGUGAAGUCGCUGCAGACAGAUUCCAGUAACACAGACACAGCACUAGCAACCUUAGAGGAAGCUCUAUCAGAAAAGGAAAGAAUAAUAGAGCGUCUGAAGGAGCAAAGGGAUCGAGACGACAGAGAAAGACUUGAAGAAAUUGAAUCUUAUAAAAAAGAAAACAAGGACCUGAAGGAGAAAGUUAAUGCUUUACAAGCUGAAUUGACAGAAAAAGAGUCUAGUUUAAUCGAUCUCAAAGAACAUGCAUCUUCAUUGGCUUCAGCAGGGCUGAAAAGAGACUCCAAACUUAAGUCUUUAGAAAUAGCCAUAGAACAAAAGAAAGAAGAGUGUAGUAAGUUGGAAGCACAGUUGAAAAAGCAAGCUGAGCAGUUGUUCAAUCAGAUGUACAAUCCAAUGCCAAUUAGGAAUAAUGGGAAGCAAGGGGCUCAUGAAGCUGAAGAGGAGGCACGGAUGAAUCCAGAAUUUGCAGACAGAAUGAAACAGCUUGACAAAGAGGCAUCGUACUAUAGAGAAGAAUGUGGCAAAGCUCAGGCUGAGGUUGACAGACUUCUAGAAAUACUCAAGGAAGUAGAGAAUGAGAAGAAUGACAAAGAUAAGAAAAUUGCUGAGUUAGAAAGCUUGACUUCCAGACAUAUGAAGGACCAAAGCAAGAAGGUUGCCAAUCUGAAGCACAAUCAGCAAUUGGAGAAAAAGAAGAAUGCACAGCUGUUGGAAGAAGUUCGUAGGCGAGAGGACAACAUGACGGACAACUCCCAACAUUUACAAGUGGAAGAGCUGAUGAAUGCACUGGAAAAGACUAGACAAGAAUUAGAUUCCACCAAAGCCCGUCUUGCCUCAACACAGCAGUCUUUGGCUGAAAAAGAAGCACAUCUGGCUAACCUGAGAAUAGAGCGAAGGAAACAGCUUGAAGAAAUUCUAGAAAUGAAACAGGAAGCUUUGCUUGCUGCAAUUAGUGAAAAAGAUGCAAAUAUUGCCUUGCUUGAGCUGUCUGCUUCAAAGAAAAAGAAGACUCAAGAUGAAGUAAUGGCUCUUAAACGAGAGAAGGACAGAUUAGUACAUCAGUUAAAACAGCAGACACAAAACAGAAUGAAGCUGAUGGCAGAUAACUAUGAUGAUGACCAUCACCACUACCACCACCAUCACCACCACCACCACCAUCGAUCUCCUGGGAGGACACAACACAACCACAGACCCUCUCCAGAUCAGGAUGAUGAGGAGGGUAUAUGGGCAUAGCCGUUCCUAUAAACCAAAGUUCCAGUUUUGUUUUGAGGGAUGAUCCAGUCACUGUUGGAGGCACAUAGCCACGGCAAAAUCUCAUGCUGUACAUUGAUCACCUGUCCAACCUUUGCCUAGAGUGUGAUCCCCAGUUCCUUCAAGAGAUCCAUCUUUACCUGUCUAUAAAGAAGAAGAGGAGGAGGGAGACACCUGGGAUAUUCAAGUAUCAAAGUUUAACACCAGAGCAGUUGUCAGAGGAACUAGUGAAAAAGGAAGAAAAAACUGUAGCACUGGAAGGUAACAAUGAUAAUCUAUUGCAUUGGAUCUCCAAACAUGACCAUGAUAUCCUGGAGAAGAUUGCAGAUGCAGAAAAUGAAUGCUAAGGUUGACAUCUAAAGAAAUGCUGCAUUAAUUGGCAUUUUCUCCAUUAUUUCUUGUAGUCUUUUGUGAAAUUAGAUACUUUGGAAAAUAAUGAAGGAGACUCAAGCAGAAAUUAUAAGAGCUUCAUUUCUGUCUUUAAUGGGUCUUGUGAGUUAUCUGUUUUUACAAAGAAACCACCUGUUCAGAAUAUGAUUGUUCGGUGAAGUUCAGUUAAACAGGUUAUUUAGCUAAUUUUUGGUAAAUUAAUAUUGAUUUUAAUAAGUAAUUCAGAUUCCCUUAGAUGUGGUAUCUGCAUUUGCUGAUUUUACCUAGUCUAUUCUAAAGUAUCACUUCUAUUGCACUAGAUUAUCAAAGAGGUAUUAGUAAAAUGCUAUAUAAGGAUGUUGGCAUUAACUUUACCCCCAGUUAGAUAUGGGCUUUUCCAAAAAUUAAAAACAAGCCUUUACCCUCCUCUGUUUUCUUUUAUCUAUUGAUAAAAUAAUAUAAAUUUAAAACAAACCAAAACCAAAUAUUGAUACUAUAACCGGUAUUAAGCUCUGGGCCAGGUUGGAAAUGAAAUCAAUUUUUGGUACUAAUAAAUGAUGACAAAGAUUAGUUUUAUGAAAAUAUGGUGUGUGUCUCUGACAAUGCAUAGGACAUCUAAUUUGAACAUAAAUAUAUGAUUAUAUACAAGAUGUAUCUAUUCCUGGAUGGUAAAAGCUUGAGGUGUAUAUAAAUACAUAUGUAUGUAUAUAUAUGGACAUGUACACAAGGAUGUAUCAACCUUUUACCAUCCAAAUGCAUACAUGUUUUCAACAAUAAAAGCUGGGACUCUUAAGAAAACAAACAAAAAUAAAGAUGAGAUUGCUGUGAAUACAGUAUAUGCACUAGGUCUCCUGUAAAUGUGGAACUGUUUGUUAUUGUUCUCUACACUGAAAAACAGUCUCCAACAUGGACCCCAAUGAAUCUUAGCUGUUAAAGAAAAUACCAAUGAACAAACAGCACUCGAAGGCUGUUUGUGUCAACAAAAUGUGUCUAGUAAAAUAAAUUUAAAGCACAUGCAAGGAAAAAUAAAAAUGUGAAGUCGUUACAUUUGGUGAGAGACUCUUAACUGACAGUCAGAUCUCUACCACUUCUCAAGGAGAGGUUCCUUCUGACUCCAAAAACAUUUUCAGUCAGUCUGGCAAACAUGUGCAAAUGUUUGGCUGUUUUGUUGAGGCAUCUUUUUGUCCAUGGAAGAAAUGCUUCCGUGCUGAUGGCAGUGGAAAUAGAAUAUCUGCAUUUUUAAAGGACAAACAAUAAAUUUAAGCAUGGGUGGCCUUAAUCCUUUGUAGUUUUUCUUUGCUGCUGUAAAAAAAAAAGAAAAAAAAAAGAAAAAAAAAAAAAAAGAAAUCUAAAUGUAUACUCUAAAGUCUUGCACUGAAUUUAGAAAAAUUAUUUUUUGAACCUGUGGUGCGAUUAACCCUAAACAUCCUACAUGAGCCAUACAUAGCAAUCCCCUUAAAAUUAUUGUCUAGAGAUGAUAUUUUAUUUAUCUGUACCAUAAUUCUCGGUGCAAUCAAAGAACAAUUUAUUUGAGCAGGAGUCCUGCUGGAUGUUACUGUCUUCAGUAAAAAAAGUAAAAUGUAUAGGCUUAGCAUAGCAUAGAUAAUCCCAAUUUCAUUCAUGUUUAAAAAGUUUGUCCUUUAACUAUCAAUGGCAUUUUAGAUCUUUGUUUUUGAAACAGCAAAGCUUUUGGGAGUAUAUUUAGCACAUAUGACAAAUGUUGCACUUGGAAACUCAGACAACAAAACUGGUUUCUCACGACAAAUUUGUUGUCGCAGUAGGGGACAAUCGUCUGUGUCUCUUACAAUCAGGUCUUUACCUUAACUCUGCAACCGAAUACUUGAAGUAGGAUAUAAACUAGGGGGAAAAUAGGGUCACAGAUACAAAGCUGUAUAGUUAGAUAUUUAUAUGUAUGUGCCAAUUUUGUCACAGGUAUUAUUUUAGGGGCAUUUUUGCUCCACUCAUGUUGGUAUGAGUAUUGAUCUAAACUUUUAUCAGGGCCUAAAAGUUAGCCCCUAAAGAGGAAAAUUUUGUCUAACAUUGAUUUUUUCUUUCUUGCUUUGGGUUUUGUUUUGGGUUGUUUUUUUGGUUUUUUUUUUUUCCCUCCUUUUCAUGUCAUGUGAUAUUCCAUGAUGUUUGGAGAAAAUCUUUUCAUAUACUAAAAUAGAAUCUCGGGGUUUACAAUAAACACUGUGAUGUUGGGAAAUAUUUUAUUUGAGCAAUGUUUGGUAGAUUUUCUUUCCCCCCCCCCCUUUAAGUGUAAUGAAGUAAACCAACUUUUGCUUAACAUUUAAGAUAAUGGUUAUUAUUUUAAUGUGAGAUCAGUCUUGUACUGCACAUUCUUUCUUUCAUUUAAAUGUACAGUAUGAAUUUUGUAUUUAAUGAAUUUUGUGUAUCCAGUAUGCACGUACCUGAGCAUUGACUUUCAUUUGAAAGUGGGUUUCAAUUUACUUUUUAAACAGUGUUUAUGAAAAGACCUCAGAUGUGUUGACACCAACUAUAUCCGCAAUGUUUCUUUUGUGUGUGUAGGGUGACGUUUGAAUGUGAUGUUCUGCAGCAAUGGGUCAGUAUCCCCUAUUUACCUUAGAUCCUCAUUUGAUAGCGCUUCUUGUAAUAAUUUUUUCAAGUGAGUGGCAUGUUCUGGAUUGUGAUAUUGAUAUAUGGUUAAGGACAUUGAUAUGAAACUAAGGAAUUCCUAGAAAUUACCAGUGGGCAUGUAUUAGACAGUCAUUGUAAUUUAAUGUCUUGUAGAAGUGUAAAGUACCAAGGUAUUUAGAGUUCAUAACAUUGUUAUCAUGUGUAUGGGAAGUAUUUAGUGUUGAUCAGCUUGUUUAUUUUCAUCAAAUAAACUUUGUUUCUUUCUGAAA